RNAcentral lists this long non-coding RNA (613 nucleotides) under Struthio camelus australis. RNAcentral describes it as "lncRNA (ENSSCUG00000016508.1)". Lineage: Eukaryota; Metazoa; Chordata; Aves; Struthioniformes; Struthionidae. The record is from RNAcentral.
AAAUACAUACACUAGAACUAAAAGACCAGUUCUUUAUAUUUGCAUCUUCACACUGACUUUUUAGAAAUGAGCCCAUAUUUUUAUAUGCUGCAGAAAAUAUGUUUGACUGAAUUAACCAACUAAACUAAAAAGUUCUCCCUGUGUACUGGCUAGUUGCUGGGCUCUUUAUCCCUUGGCACCAUCUUCAUACUGUGGUUGAAGCAACCACAAAGCUAUUUUGGAGCAUAGACAAUCAUACCUUGUGGCCUGCAUUUAUUUAUCUCUUAUCCCUUUUACAGUAUUUACCAGGUGGCUGACUUUCUGCUGUCACAUCAGAAAACAUGAAGUGCAGCAGUUUGAUGAAUGCACAGAGGAGGCAGGAAUAUUGUUGCAAUAACUUCAUCUUGAUCCAAGAAGCCUUCACAUGCAUGCAAAUUAUCUGAACCAACUGCAAAGUUCCUAUGGUUAAGUUUCUCCAUUCUUAACCGUUCAAAAGAAAAAAUGCCGUUCUCACAGCCCCAGAUCACAACCCCCAAGUAAAAGUACUGUUAUACACAAGUAAAAAAUGUCAAAUAUACUUGCGUUCUUGUUGACCCUCCCCAAAGAGGGGUCUGACGUGAGUGGAGAGUAGCCU